RNAcentral lists this ribosomal RNA (386 nucleotides) under Medauroidea extradentata. RNAcentral's name for it is "partial small subunit ribosomal RNA". The record is from RNAcentral. Lineage: Eukaryota; Metazoa; Arthropoda; Insecta; Phasmatodea; Phasmatidae.
GCGGUUAUACAAUAGAUGAUAUUUAAUAUUUUUGGUUAAAAGUAGUUAAGUUAUUAUUUGAGGUUAAUUAUUAUUUUUUGAGGUGAAAUUUAAAUUUAAAUUAUCUUUUAUAUGAUUCUUACUAAAUAUAACAUUUAAACUAGGAUUAGAUACCCUAUUAUUUUAUAUAUAAAUUUUUACCGGGGUAAUAAUAGUUAUUUUCUUUAAACCUAAAGAAUUUGGCGGUGUUUUAGUCUAUUCAGAGGAAUCUGUCCCAUUAUCGAUAGUCCACGUUUUAUCUUACUUUAUUUUGUUUACAGUAUGUAUACCGCCGUUAUAAGUUUAUUUUAUUAGAAUUAUAAUUUACUUAAGAUAAUAUUUUAUUAUAUUUCAGNCAAAGGUGCAGA